This 345-nucleotide unclassified non-coding RNA is filed under the name soil metagenome. RNAcentral's name for it is "partial contains 5.8S ribosomal RNA, internal transcribed spacer 2, and large subunit ribosomal RNA". The stretch from base 1 to 120 matches the Rfam family "5.8S ribosomal RNA", at positions 35 to 154 of the family's 154-position model. The record is from RNAcentral.
GAUGAAGAACGUAGCGAAAUGCGAUAAGUAAUGUGAAUUGCAGAAUUCAGUGAAUCAUCGAGUCUUUGAACGCACAUUGUGCCCCCUGGUAUUCCGGGGGGCAUGCCUGUCCGAGCGUCAUUGCUGCCCUCAAGCACGGCUUGUGUGUUGGGCCUCCGUCCUCCUCCCGGGGGACGGGCCCGAAAGGCAGCGGCGGCACCGCGUCCGGUCCUCGAGCGUAUGGGGCUUCGUCACCCGCUCUUGUAGGCCCGGCCGGCGCUUGCCGACACAUCAAUCUUUUUUCCAGGUUGACCUCGGAUCAGGUAGGGAUACCCGCUGAACUUAAGCAUAUCAAUAAGCGGAGGA